CCCUACUUACAUACUUUACUACAAUUGAUAAAAAGAGGGUUUAAUUUUGUGUGUUAACUUAUUUUUCACAUCAAAUUUUGGCGCCGUUGCCGGGGAUUAGCAAGUUUGCUAAUCUCUUGGAUUGUUUUCUUUCGAAUUAUUGUAUUUUGUUUAAGUUUCUGUUUAAGUUGCUGAUUUAUUUUGUUUUCUUUGUUUUUAGGUACUAGUUUAUGACCCGUAGCUCACAAC
This 228-nucleotide long non-coding RNA is filed under the name Malus domestica (apple). Its description in RNAcentral is "long non-coding RNA (MDOM_LNC015530)". The record is from RNAcentral. Lineage: Eukaryota; Viridiplantae; Streptophyta; Magnoliopsida; Rosales; Rosaceae.